UACGCGUGCCCCGAGCGUUAUCCGGAAUCAUUGGGCGUAAAGGGUGUGUAGGUGGCAGUGUUAGUCGAUUGUUAAAACCUGGGGCUUAACCCCAGAUGUGCGAUCGAAACGGCACAGCUAGAGGAUGCGAGGGAUGUAUGGAACUCAUGGAGUAGGGGUGAAAUCCGUUGAUAUCAUGGGGAACACCAAAAGCGAAGGCAGUACAUUGGCGCAUUCCUGACACUGAGACACGAAAGCGUGGGUAGCGAAUGGG
RNAcentral lists this ribosomal RNA (253 nucleotides) under uncultured bacterium. RNAcentral describes it as "partial 16S ribosomal RNA". It matches the Rfam family "Bacterial small subunit ribosomal RNA", at positions 524 to 776 of the family's 1533-position model. The record is from RNAcentral.